ACUACCCAAAUACCCCACUUAUCCAUCUCUUACCCGUUUCUCUCUCUAUAUUAUCACCAUACCCAUACCAUGCUCGUCCUCAUUAGCCAAGACCACCUUGCAUACCCACAAAGUUCAUCACCUAUUGCUCUUCAUACCAAACAUCUUCCAUUUCAUCAAUCACCGAAAACCCUUUUUCUCACUGUUUUAAUGUUCCUUUCUUACCAAUCCUCUUGCCAUCUCACCCACGUCUACGUUACCCAUGCACGCAUGGCUGCCCAGGUUGUUGUGAGUCUCCUCUAAGGUCCCGAAUCUACCUAGCCUUCAUAGUGGCAGUAGGAGCAUAAAAAAAAAAGAAAAGAAAAGAGGAAUGUAUUGCAUGGUAGGCCUGAAACUAUUUGAAUAAUUGGUGAAUUAAAAUUCAAAGACAUGAGUUUUUUAUACUAUUUUUUAUUCUUCAUUAGUGGCAUGGUUCCAACAGGCUUCAAUGUGGUUUGUUAUUAUUUUUUUUCUCCUUUCUCCCACGUGCCAUCUUCUUAAUUCCACUUUACAUGUUAAAAUUUUCAUUUUUUUUAAAAGUUCUGUUAUCAAAUAAUUCUUUUGAAAUCCCAACGUUUCAAAUUCAUUCAUUUAUUCAUUUAUUUUAUCUAUUUUAUUCAUUUAUUUUUUUAUUUGUCUAUUUAUUUAUUUAUUAUUUUAUUUAAGAAUAUAUAUAUACACGUAUCCUUUCCAAAAUAAUCUCGUAAAAUGUGAUUUUUAAAUUUAUUUCACGAAACUUCCGAUCUAAUAUUCAAUUUUCCAAAACUCCAAUAUUUUAAAUUUAAUUUUUCAAAAUUCAUUUCUCAAAAUAAUUUUCUAGAACUCUAACUUUAAAUUUAAUUUUCCCAAAAUUCAAAUUUUCAGUUCCAAUGUUCCAAAAAUUCCACUAUUCUCUUUUUUAUUCGUUUAAACAUUAUCUUUGUUAAUUAGUAUCAUUAUUCCGUGUUUAUUUGUUUAUUUAUUUAUUUCAAUCAUUAAAGUCUAAUUCUUCAAAAUCCCAAUUUUCUUUCAAAUUUAAUUUCUAAAAGUUCUCAUUCUUACAUCUAAUUCCUAAGAAUCCAAUUUUCAAAUAAUCUCUAAGAUUCCGAUUCUCAAAUGAAUUUCAAAAAUCCAGUUUUCCUUCAAACAAUUUUAAUCCCUGUUUAGUGACGCAUGUGAUAUGUUUUGUGCUCUAUAUGGUGUACUAACCCUCUCUAUUGAUAGCACAUGGUGGCUCGUGGCCCAGGUAUGUACCCAUUUUCCCUUUAAUCGUUGUCUAUACAUGUCUCGAUUCUUGUGUGUGCAUGAUCAUUCAAGAUAUUCAUUGAUUUACUCAUCAAUUGCCACGUCAGCUUCAUUUUAUUAGUAGAGACCCGACUUUAGAGACUUAGAGGGGUGCUACGGUUUUUACCGUACCUUCCCGAUAAGUAACCUGACCCCCGAACCCGAUCCGGUUUUUCGUAGACUAACCUUUUCCAAAACAAGGAGUCACACUUAGGGUUUUUCUUUCUUAUUUUGUUUACCCUUUUAAAAAUAAAACAUAAAUAAGUGGCGACUCCAAGUCAUUUUUUUUUUAUCAAUGAAUCAAUUUUUCAAAAUAAAAAUCGAGCUCGCCAUUAAGUGGGAAACGCAUUGAGAUAGAUCGAAAUGCGAGGUCCAAAAAAUAGUGACUCCACUGGGGAAUCAUUUAGAGGGUCAAGCUUGAACUUAGAGUGAAGCAAACGUGGCAUUCGAUUGGACGAUCAGUGGAUGCUCAUCUCUUGAUUGCACAUUGAGGAUUUCUUGAUGCAUGCUUAGAUGUCAUAUUCAUUUGAGAUUUUGGCGUGCUGGAUUAUUGAUGAUUGAUCUUAUUACCUUGCUUAGCACAUUGAUUCUGAUUCUGUUAUGAUUGUUCUGAUCACUUCACAUGCAUACACUCACCCUUGUAUAUCACUUAGCUUGACAUGUUUAUUCUCUGACUUGUGUAUUAUCUUGAUCGUCUUUUGAGCAUGAUGUUCGUACCGUUAUUCAUCCUGAUAGUUGUAGAUUUUUGUGUGGACAUGAGUGAUAUAUCCUGUACUCUGCUUGACUGUAUGAUGCAUGACUGCCCUCCCUCUGCAUGAUUGCAUGUCGCUUGUCUAUGUGGGUCGCAUAUCUAUCCCCUUACCUCCAAAUCUCUUGGUUUCAGUCAUUCCUUUCAUCUCGAUUCUCACUAUUGCAAGUGUGAGACCUUCUGUGUGUUUGCUCUCUGACCAAACCAGAGAUUAGGAGUAGGGUCUAGCGACGGGCUAUAUCGAUGCACGGGAGCAUUUUGGAGGAGAACGACACUUUGAUGUCGAUUGGAGUCCGAUCAUUGAAGACCUGUAUAGCCCGGAGCUAGGUUUCAUGGAUAUUUGUGCGACCAGUGUGUUUCAUCUUUCUGUUUUAGCUUCCUAGGGUUUUCGGAUGCACCCACACCAUCACUAUGCACUCUAGUUGACUAUUGAGCGUUGAGAAUUUGAGAGGUUUCACCAUAGGAAACCCCCUGGGACGUCGAGGUAGUGCAUGUGUGGAGGUGAUGACCACCUUGCAUGGAAGCGCCCCGUCUCUUCGAAGGCGUGCAGAGGGUUGCGUACCGCCGGAAGGUAUGAUCGCUUCUACUAGGGAUCCUCUAAAGUCCACCCAUAUCCAUUUAGAGCCACCUUCACCUUGUAGAUUGAGCCGUAGAUCAUUCGAUUAGGACUCCCUCCCUACACGUGGGUGCAUCUGAGGUCCUUCAGAGCCUCUUUAAUUACAGUUCGGAUCCAGUAUUCCCUCUUUUUAGUCUCCAGUUGAGAGUGCUUGGAGAUCGGUAUGAGUUUGAGUAUUGGUUGGAUCACCUUUCGUCUCGUUGCCUUAGUUUGUGCUUUUUACUCGAUGAGUUUGUCAUGCUUUCCUCCUAGGGCUUUCGUUUUUCUUUCUUGGCUCGACACAUCCUUUCACUUUGUUGACACUUACUUGAUGCUUCGGGAUAUGUUCAUCGAUCAUGAUCGUCUUGUUUUUGCAUUAUACACCUAUCACGGGCUCAGUACCUUAUUUUUUGUUGGAUCCUUGAUUCAAUUUUCGACUCGAUGCUCAUAUUUUCAUUACUAGAAAGGUGAAAGAAGCAUUUUCAUAUUCACACUUUUUCUAGAGAGUUGCCUUGAUCACCUUACCAUUUUUUUCUCUUAUGGAGCUUGAGUCGAAAGUUGAGUUAAAGAUAUGUGUUUAUUGAUGGAGUACCGAUCUCGUGAUAGUGUGUUUUUCGCACCUCUUUUAUCUCGGAUUAUUGAUGGAGAUUCUUUGGUCACAUUUGUAGCCAUCUCGCAGUGGAUAUCUUUAUGACCUUAGAGUUUCUGUCAUAUUUCCAGUUAUAGAUUGCCAUCACAGGACCAUAUAUCAAAUGAUGUGUUGUACUUUUGACUUAGGGCAUUUAUUCAUUUGCACAUCACGAUCACUCUGGCCUGACCUAUCAUGGAGGAUAUUAAGCCUAUUGACCUAGGAUCAGGAGAUCGACCUAGGGAGUUCGAGACUGUGACCCAUUUCACCUUCCGUUCAGAGCAGUACCAUAUCCAUAUCCAUACCCUGACUCUGUGGACUUGUCGACCUACUCAUUUUGAGCCUGACAUGACACCACCCCUUGGUACCAUUACACGACUUUACUACCUUUGUUCGCCUUAUCAUGCUACAAUACCAUUGCCUUUCUUUUCCAUUAUUUCCUUGAUCUGACUAGGUAGAGUCCGAGAUGGCUAGACCCGAGGUGAGCUUUACACGAUGAUAGAUAGAUCAUGAUGAGAGAGUGGUUUGACUGUUUGGCGAUAUUGUUGAGAUAGAGGGGUUAUCAUGGAGCAUCCAGAUUUGAGCCAUUACACAUGACUUCAGAGAGUCGGGAUGAUUAGACAUGGUGAUUUUAUGAGAUGAUGGUGAGUGGCUUGUGAUGAUAGAGUGAGUUGAUUUUCAGAGUACAUUGAUGGUUGUCAUAGAGCAUCAGUGGGAGCUUUCGCACGAUUUCAGAGGAGUCGCCAUGACUAUGUUGGAUGGAUGCCAGUCUUUAGUAUUGGCCAUGUGAGAUCUCGAGAGCACAAUGUUCGAGGUUUUGGUCAAAUGAUGGGUGGCCAUCAUUUCAUGAGCCUAUUUACUUUAUCACCCUCACAUAUAGAGUUACCCGUUGCUAGCCCUUUGAGCCUCACACGAGCACAUAACCUUUUCUUUCAUCACUUCAUUUACCUAUUACACCGGGUUGGGGACCCUGUAGUGCUUGCAUGCUAUGUUUGGAUACGUCAUGAGUUCCAGACCUGACACACUUGUUCGAGCCUCAUUCUUCACUCUUCACUGUGAUAUUUUCCACUUGGACAUCAUUUCAUCACUAUUUUUCUUAUAUCACAUAUCAUCACUUGCGAUAUUCGUUCUCUGCCUUUUUUUUCAUUAUUGCUUACUCGACAUUAUCCGUGUUUCACCUUGAGUGGUGGUUUUUCACACGUCACUACAUGGAGGAUUGUCACAUUCUUUCCUAUCAUUCACCCCAUGAGCAGUGGUUCAGAGAUGUUAUUUUGAGAGGUUGUCUUGUUGGUGAGGAUUCAUGUUACAUUCAUAUGUGGAGAGGGUUUGAUCAUUUGGGUAUGUAUUUUCAUGGGAGUUCAUUCAUUAUUGAUCAGAGUAUGCGCCAAAAAAAAAAAUAAAAAAUAAAAAUAAAAAAAAAUGAAAAAAAAAAUAUAGCUCAUUGUUCAUUUUAUCGUUCUUCAUUGGGCAUGUGUAUGGACGUGCUGGGUUGUUAGAGAGAGUUCGUAUGAGAGCUUCUUUAUGAGAUUCAUCUUGAUGUAUAUUUUGGGUGAGAGUAUGAGUCAUCCAUUCGAUUUUUGUGAGAGAGACGAGCGACCUUUCUUUAGUAUCUCUGGGUCCCUGUUCUAUCCAUCAUUCCAUUUAUUUUGGAUGUGACUACUUUCUAUGCUUUGAUGCAGGUUGACCAUCACUCAUUUUUCUAUCUCUUUGUUUUCUUGUAUCUUUGUUUCGUUCCUCCAUUCCACCCUAGCUCUUCUGAUUUCUUUCUUUUCUCAUCCUGCUUGAUGUUUGACUUGGGAUUGGUACACACACAUCAUACUUGUUCAUUCGAUGUGACUGAUUACUACCAAAAAGUGCUAUUUUGUAGACCUAAUUAUAAUGGUUUUAAGCACCUUUGUGUAGUAAUCAUAUUCAUUUAACCCAAUUAAUUCAUUAAGGUCCUUAGUAAUUGGUUUUAACCAUUUUGUGGCAAGUUUACAUGUUUUUAUCAGCUUAUGAAUCAAUUCAAGCAUGCCAAAUGAUGGAGGAGCUACUUGGACAAGUUAAAGCAAGCUUUUAGCUACACCAAAUCAAGCCAACAAAAGGAGAAAAGCAAAGAGAAGCAAAGAGAAGCAAAAAGAAGCAAAGAGGAAAACAGAGGACAGCAGCUGCAGUCUUCUUUGGCACUUUUGGAGCACUUCCCGAAGUCCAUUUUCUACAUGCUAUAUACCAUUUCAAAGCUCAGAAAGUCAAGAAUCCAACGGUUCAAACCAUGUAUGAUUUGGAGCUGAAAUGAGAAAGAUAUGGCCUUCGGAAGACAACUGCAUCAAGCUGAGGGACAAUUUCGCACACCACUGUGCAAGGUGCGAAUUCCUCAGUCCACUGUGCGAAAAUUUCGCACACCUCAAAUCAAAGUGCGAAAUUGGAACUCCAACGUGCAAAUCUUCCCCUAUUUCUGCCGACUCCACACGAGAUCUUUUCUUUUGGAUAUUUUUGUAUAAAUUUCCAUUCUUCUCCUUGUAAUCCACCAAUCAUGUAAUUUCUUAGCUAGGAAGGUUGGAAAAACUUCUCUAUAUAUAUUCCCUUGCAUCCAUUGUAAUAGAUAAUCGAUCAAUAUAUAGAAUAUACAGAGCCUUGCUCUGUUUUUCUCUCUUCUCCUGUUCUUCUCCUGUUUCUAUUUUCUUAGUAGCCAAACAGCCUCUAAGGGCUUUUCCUCAAAGGAUGAUUGGCUAAAACUUUUAGUUUCUCAAAGUAUGGAUGUUAUGUGAUGGCUUGGAUGCAAUCCCAUGGAAAUUUCUCGCACCCGGAAGGUAAGGUAGUCGUUUUUCAUUAAAGGUUCAUUAAUGCAAAGUUUGGUUUUUAUUUCUUUUGGACAACUUCCAACGGCCAAUACUUGAUAAGCUUUUGGAUUUCUAUCCAUUAGUUAUCUCCUACGAGCUAUUGGAAUGUGAGGUUUUCAAUUCCAAGUUUUGCAUUAAUCCGUUAGAACCAAUUUCAAUGGCCAUUGAAAGGUGAGUUUAUCACCUGGAAUGACUUUGAGUUGCCAAUAUUUGGUAAGCUUUUGGCUUUAGACCAUUAGUUAUCUCUUACGAGCCAUUCAAAGGAAGUCUAAGGCGAAUAACCAUUGAUGAAAUUCACUACCAUCUGUUUUGCCAUUUUAAAGGAUUAAAACUUGAUUUGCUAAAUCCAUACCGGUUCGGGAAGCAAGCAUCACCAUAGUUGCAACCCCAACGCGAGGAGCCUAUCCUGAGAUUUCCAAUUUGCAUAAGAGCCAGAGCAUAGCUAUCCUAUCUUUGAGAAACUUGUUUUUACACUCUUUCAUUUUAGUCUUUAAUGUUAGCUUAGAUUAGUUUAAAUCUUUCUAAAACAUUUACAUCUUCUUUUAAAGCUAACAUCCAUAAGAAAAUCACUUAUUUUCCUAAUUUGAAUAUCACUAGUGUUUGCGAAAACCCUUCCCAGUGAACGAUCCUAGAACCACUAUGCUAUAGUAGCUUGGCUACUUUAGUAAUAGUAUUCAAGGUAUAAAUUUUGUUGAUACGCCUUUAAAGCUAAGCUACCAUGAGUCGAAUCAGUGACCAUUCAUUUAUCAUCACUUUUCGUGUGGGGAUCCCUCGGUCCGGGACUCAUGACAUUUUCUACGCAUUGCAUCUCAUGCAUGAGGGGUAUGGGGAUUAUAUCAUUGGGAUCUUUGAGCCUAGUUUCCUUUCAUUUCUUUCACCUUAUUACCUUAGCCUACGUUACGUCUCGAGUCUGAAGACCACCCUGAGGUCAUUACUUCACAUUGUGUUUGACAGCUCACACGUGGGUAAUACUCGAGAUUAGUCGGAGAUUAUUCCUCGGAGCAUGAUGGAUGGGGAGUUGAGAUGAUGAUUUACACUGGGGCAUACCCCUAUUAUCAGUGAUGGAUUUUCAGAGGCGCCGUUAUCUACACUGGGGCAUACCCCGCUCAUCGAUGACGUUUUCUUUCGGGAUGAUGCUUUGCAUUGAGGCAUAGUCAGUUUGCUUCUUCACUUGGGUUAUGAUGGAUUAGGAGUUGCGGGAUGACCUUACACUGGGGCAUAGCCACUUCAGAGAGCACUUUUAUUGGAGAUACAGUCACUCUACUCAAUACUCUGCAUUGGGACACACUCUACUCAUUGAUGGUUGAUUAUUGAGAUGACGAUUUAUUUUGAGGCAUGACCUUCUCAUUAGUGACAGACUUUGAUUUUUCAUUGGAGCAUAGUCACUUCAGAUGGUUUAUACUGGGGCAUAGCUAGUUCAUUCGUACUCAUAGAGCUCGGGGAUUCUGAUUCAUAUGGAUUAUGUUGAGAGGUUCCCAUUUUUAGCACCAGGAGUAGAGAUUGAUUGAUUUGUUGACUCGGAUGCAUUGCUUUACUCUAGGGCAUAGCCGGGAUGGAGAACAUUUCUCAUUGGAGCAUAGCCACCCUACUUGGAUCCUUUACACUGGGGCAUGUCCAUCUUUUGGAGGGAGAUCAGGUUGGUUCUUGACAUUGGAGCAUCUGACGAGUGAUAUGGAGAUCAUUGGAUUAUUUCAUGUUGUCCUCAUUGCAUACUGGGGCAUAACCGCCUAGUUGGAUGUUUUGACAUCAAGAUUUGACUUCCUGUUUGUGAUUACUGCUUUUCGAUGGAUUAUGGAGCUCUUGAUACCUCGGGUCUAGUCUUCUUGGCAUACUUGGGUGAUCUCAGAUACUUACAUACCUUUCAUUUUACACUCAGACAUUUCAUCCUGGAUGCUCUCAUGCCUUCCAUCAUACUAGAGCCUGAUCAUCGCCUUAUUUUAUCCUACGCAUCCCACCGUGACACAUGACCUCACCCUUUUCUCGAUUAGGAGGAAGAUGUAGAUCAGUCCUCGAUCACCUUGGUUGUGUUUUCAUACAUUCUUUUGGACUUUGGGUUCAACAUCUUCCAUGAUAGCAGGACUUGACAGAUUGUUGACUUAUCAGUGACGAUGCUUUCAUUUUGAUAGUUGGCACGAUGAGUGUUGAUUUUGUUUGCUCUUUGCAUUUCGAGCAUUGGUCAUCAUUGUUUUAUUCAUCAGUUUUUUUUUUGUUUUGUCAGCACGGUAUCACGAUGCAUGGUCCUGUUUGGCAUUACUUAUUUGAGGUUGGACAUUUUCGUUACAUGAUGGAUGAGCAUAUCUCAGAGUACAGUAGUUUUGAGUCAUUUUGCAUCUCUGUCUGUUCAUCAUCACAUACUGGGGCAUAACCCCUCUCCAAGAGCAUUAGACCUUCCAUAGGUUUCAUUCACUUUUUGAUCUAGUUGUUGACUCCCUUGAGUUGCAUACUGGGGCAUACCCUCCUUUUCUAGCCUUCUUUAGGAUCAUCGGACCUUUCACAUGUUUCACUAUCUUUUGACCUAGUUGUUGAUCCUCAUGAGUUGUCAUACUGGGGCAUAUCCUCUCCUUUUGAAUUUGCUUGCAUCGUUAUCCUGGAUAUCCUUUGGCUUUGGGCUACUUGAUCAGAUCACCAUCAUGUCAGUUCACUUAGAGUUCGGGACCGUACCUAUAUCAAUCGGUCAUCAUCUUAUCAGUUUCAGUUCAAGUCAGGACCACACCUAUAUCGAUCGGUCAUUCGUCGUGUCAGUUUGAGUCGGGACCGCACCUACAUCAAUCGGUCAUCAUCUUAUCAGUUUCAGUUCGAGUCAGGACCGCACCUAUAUCGAUCAGUCAUUCGUCGUGCCAGUUUGAGUUGGGGCCGCACCUAUAUCGAUCGACCAUCUUCCUAUCAUGUUCAGUUCGAGUCGGGACCACACCUAUAUUGAUCGGUCAUUCGUCGUGUCAGUUUGAGUCGGGGCCGCACCCAUAUCGACUGGUCAUUUUCCUAUCACUUUCAUGUUCAGUUCGAGUAGGGACCGCACCUAUAUCAAUCGGUCAUCAUCUUAUCAGUUUCAGUUUGAGUCAGGGCCGCACCUAUAUCGAUCGGCCAUCUUCCUAUCAGUUCAGUUCGAGUCGGGACCGCACCUAUAUCGAUCGGUCAUUCAUCGUGUCAGUUUGUGUCGGGACCGCACCUAUAUUGAUCGGCCAUGUUCCUAUCACUUUCAUGUUCAGUUCGAGUCGGGAUCGCACCUAUAUCAAUCGGUCAUCAUCUUAUCAGUUUCAGUUCGAGUCAGGACCGCACCUAUAUCGAUCGGUCAUCAUCCUAUCAGUUUGAGUUUGAGUUGGGGCCGCACCUAUAUCGAUCGGCCAUUUCCUUGUCAUGUCAGUUCAGUUUUUGGGACCGCACCUAUAUCGAUCGGUCAUCAUCCUAUCAGUUUGAGUUUGAGUCGGGGUCGCACCUAUAUCGAUCGGCCAUUUCCUUGUCAUGUCAGUUUAGUUUCUAGGAUCGCACCUAUAUCGAUUGGUCAUCAUCUUAUCAGUAUGAGUUUGUGUUUUCGGGGCUGCACCUAUAUCAAUCGGCCAUCUUCCUAUCAGUUCAGUUUCUGGGACCGCACCUAUAUCGAUCGGCCAUCUUCCUAUUAGUUCAGUUUCUAGGACCGCACCUAUAUCGAUUGGUCAUUAUCGUGUCAGUCUGAGUCGGGGCCGCACCUAUAUCAAUCGGCCAUCUUCCUACCAGUUCAGUUUCUGGGACCGCACCUAUAUCGAUCGGUCAUUCAUCGUGUCAGUCUGAGCCGGGGCCGCACCUAUAUCAAUUAGCCAUCUUCCUACUAGUUCAGUUUCUGGGACCGUACCUAUAUCGAUCGGUCAUUCAUCGUGUCAGUCUGAGUCGGGGCUGCACCUAUAUCAAUCGGUCAUCUUCCUAUCAGUUCAGUUUCUGGGACCGCACCUAUAUCAAUCGGUCAUUCAUUGUGUCAGUCUGAGUCAGGGCCGCACCUAUAUCGAUCGGCCAUCUUCCUAUCAGUUCAGUUCGAGUCGGGACCACACCUCUAUCGAUCGGUCAUUAUCGUGUCAGUUUGAGUCGGGGCUGCACCUAUGUCAAUCGGCCAUCUUCCUAUCAGUUCAGUUUCUGGGACCGCACCUAUAUCGAUCGGUCAUUAUCUUGUCAGUUUGAGUUCGGGUCUGCACUUAUAUCGAUCGGUCAUCAUCCUAUCAGUUUGAGUUUGAGUCGGGGCCGCACCUAUAUCGAUCGACCAUUUCCUUGUCAUAUCAGUUUGUGAGUUGGGACCGCACCUAUAUCGAUCGGUCAUUCAUUCUGUCAGUUUCAGUUCAGUUCGAGUUGGGACCGCACCUAUAUCGAUCGGUCAUUCAUCCAUCUUCCUUUUAGUUUGAGUCGGGGCCGCACCCAUAUCGACCGGCCAUUUUCCUAUCAGUUUGUGUUUAGUUUGAGUCGGGACCGCACCCAUAUAGAUCGGUCAUUCAUUCUUUCUAUCAGGCCAGUUCGACGUUCAGGUCUUUGUUUCAGUAUGACAUUCAAAGUCACUUUCCUCACCUGGCUACUCUGGUGCUUAUUGCUUAUUCAUCAGGCUCUUCUAGAUUUCCCCUUUAACUGCACAUGACAUAGUUCUUUGAGUUCGUGACACAUACUUUUGUCAUGUUAUUGGGCACCCUACACUCGGCAUUCUCGUAUAGCUCGCCUAGGGCAGUCUCCUUUGAGCGUAGUCUUUUCUAUACUCCAGGGUGGUUCGACCGUUACUCAUCUUUGACAUCGAUUUUCGAGUCACUUUUGGAGAUAUCUUAGAAGGAUCCUGGAUCCUUAGUGUGGCUUCAAAGGCAUUUUGAGACAUCUCUCUCUUUUAGGAUUAGAGACCUUGUUGUUCAUUUUGCUAGCCUGAGUGAGUUUAUAUCUCACUAGUGUCCCUAUGGGGGUCUUCUUGGUUCUUCGGUAGAGUUCACUUCAUUGCACUCACUAUUCACACGUACUUUUCACUCCAGUGUUCAUGUUCCUUACACUCGUGAACUCUACCAAAGAGGGGCAUAUUUGUAGACCCCCUUUGAAGAGCAUAGGGGUAUUUAGUUUUUUUUAUAUAUAUUAAAGGAGCUGGCAGCACCCGAGAAGUGUGGGGGGGACCCCUCUCCAUGCGUGGGACCAAUUGCAAGAGACGCCAUGCUGCUGAUGAAGGAAGCCAUGCUGCUGACUGCUGAAACAGGGAAGCAGGUGAUGGCUUGCCCGAGAAGGUAGGAACCGACUGGAAAGAAGAAGAAAAGAAAAGAAAAAAAAGAGGAGCGAAAAAAGAGGAGGCUGCGGUGGAGGGGGUCCAGAGAGGUUCUUUGAGUUAGAGGAAGAAGCUUGGCCGAAAGCAGGGUAGCAGACGGAUUUUCUAGAGAAAAGCUUGGAGUCCUGUUGGUUUUUUUUUUUUGCUGGAGAAAAACUUCCUCAGGUAUGGUUACUGCAAGCUUAUUGAUGUUUUGGUUGUUACCUCCCUUCCAUAUCUCUUGUUGAUGUUUGAAUAUUUGUUGGUUUGCUUGGGGUGGGUAAUGAAGGCCACCUGUUGUUUGUUGAGAUAUGAUCCUAAACUCAUGUUUGAGGUUGUUAAUCUUAAUAUGUCAUGCUUCUACUGUGAAAUAUUCCACAAUCAUGCCAAUAGUUGUAUUUGUUGUGUUUAUUCUCACCUGAUCGGAGGGCUCACUGGUGGCUCAUGAGUGAAGCCUUAGUUGAGGAUAUCUUCAUCUGCCGUUUCUCAUGCUCUGUUUCCAUUAUUGCUUGCUUGUUGUGGCUGCUCCUUGUUCCUGGACCGUGUUAAAUGCAUGGACUGUGAGAGAGGAAAUCUGGCUGUGACCCCUUGCGAAGAUACAGAUCCUCAAGGUUUUGAUGUCAUCAGAGAAUAAAGUUGCUCCGAAGAGAUUUCGGCUAUUAUUUUGGAAGGUGACUUGAACAGCGAUGGAAAGGAGAAGUUAAACAAAUUAAUACCCAUUUGUCCUCAUGCAUGCGUGCCUACCCAUUUAACCCUCUCUUGAUACCUAUUCCAGCGCAUGCAUGGCUGUCCCAAAGCUCCUUCCAAAACUCUUGUUAAUAUCCCAGAUUUAUCCACCCAUGUGCAAGAGGAUCAUGCUAACCUGGUUAUUCUUCAUAUGCCCAUUUCUCAUUUUCCAUACAUGACACUUUCACCUUUCAUGCUCAUACCCCACCAUACCCACAGCCGUAUUCACCACCAUGCCCACAUUUCCUUCUUCUAAACCCGCUGUUGGCAACCCAACCUUCCAACCUCGUGCAUACGUGCCCAUACCCACUACCCAAAUACCCCACUUAUCCAUCUCUUACCCGUUUCUCUCUCUAUAUUAUCACCAUACCCAUACCAUGCUCGUCCUCAUUAGCCAAGACCACCUUGCAUACCCACAAAGUUCAUCACCUAUUGCUCUUCAUACCAAACAUCUUCCAUUUCAUCAAUCACCGAAAACCCUUUUUCUCACUGUUUUAAUGUUCCUUUCUUACCAAUCCUCUUGCCAUCUCACCCACGUCUACGUUACCCAUGCACGCAUGGCUGCCCAGGUUGUUGUGAGUCUCCUCUAAGGUCCCGAAUCUACCUAGCCUUCAUAGUGGCAGCAGGAGCAUAAAAAAAAAAAA
This 12668-nucleotide long non-coding RNA is filed under the name Vitis vinifera (wine grape). RNAcentral's name for it is "long non-coding RNA (VVIN_LNC003757)". The record is from RNAcentral. Lineage: Eukaryota; Viridiplantae; Streptophyta; Magnoliopsida; Vitales; Vitaceae.